AGAGUUUGAUCCUGGCUCAGGAUGAACGCUGGCGGCGUGCUUAACACAUGCAAGUCGAACGAUCCUUCGGGAUAGUGGCGGACGGGUGAGUAACGCGUGGGAAUCUGCCCUCAGGAGGGGGAUAACGGCUGGAAACGGCCGCUAAUACCCCAUAUGCCGAGAGGUGAAAUGAAUUUCGCCUGAGGAUGAGCCCGCGUCUGAUUGCUAGUUGGUGGGGUAAAGGCCUACCAAGGCAACGAUCAGUAGCUGGUCUGAGAGGAUGAUCAGCCACACUGGGACUGAGACACGGCCCAGACUCCUACGGGAGGCAGCAGUGGGGAAUUUUCCGCAAUGGGCGAAAGCCUGACGGAGCAACGCCGCGUGAGGGAUGAAGGCCUCUGGGCUGUAAACCUCUUUUCUCAAGGAAGAAGACCUGACGGUACUUGAGGAAUAAGCCACGGCUAAUUCCGUGCCAGCAGCCGCGGUAAUACGGGAGUGGCAAGCGUUAUCCGGAAUUAUUGGGCGUAAAGCGUCCGCAGGCGGCCUUGUAAGUCUGUUGUUAAAGCGUGGAGCUCAACUCCAUUUAAGCAAUGGAAACUACAAGGCUGGAGUGUGGUAGGGGCAGAGGGAAUUCCCGGUGUAGCGGUGAAAUGCGUAGAUAUCGGGAAGAACACCAGUGGCGAAGGCGCUCUGCUGGGCCAUAACUGACGCUCAUGGACGAAAGCCAGGUGAGCGAAAGGGAUUAGAUACCCCUGUAGUCCUGGCCGUAAACGAUGAACACUAGGUGUCGGGGGAAUCGACCCCCUCGGUGUCGUAGCCAACGCGUUAAGUGUUCCGCCUGGGGAGUACGCACGCAAGUGUGAAACUCAAAGGAAUUGACGGGGGCCCGCACAAGCGGUGGAGUAUGUGGUUUAAUUCGAUGCAACGCGAAGAACCUUACCAGGGUUUGACAUCCUGCGAACCCCUGAGAAAUCGGGGGGUGCCUUCGGGAGCGCAGAGACAGGUGGUGCAUGGCUGUCGUCAGCUCGUGUCGUGAGAUGUUGGGUUAAGUCCCGCAACGAGCGCAACCCACGUCUUUAGUUGCCAGCAUUCAGUUGGGCACUCUAGAGAGACCGCCGGUGAUAAACCGGAGGAAGGUGUGGAUGACGUCAAGUCAUCAUGCCCCUUACAUCCUGGGCUACACACGUACUACAAUGCUACGGACAAAGGGCAGCAAGCUCGCGAGAGUUAGCAAAUCCCAUAAACCGUGGCUCAGUUCAGAUCGUAGGCUGCAACUCGCCUACGUGAAGGAGGAAUCGCUAGUAAUCGCAGGUCAGCAUACUGCGGUGAAUACGUUCCCGGGCCUUGUACACACCGCCCGUCACACCAUGGAAGUUGGCCAUGCCCGAAGUCGUUACUCCAACCCG
RNAcentral lists this ribosomal RNA (1385 nucleotides) under metagenome. RNAcentral's name for it is "bacterial SSU rRNA". It matches the Rfam family "Bacterial small subunit ribosomal RNA". The record is from RNAcentral.